GCAUUAACCCUUCUGCUAUUUAUACCCUAAACAAACAUUACGGAGUGGGGGGGAGAGACUGGAAAAAGAUCAGAGUGAUCUGCCGAAAUUCACAAAGGGAUAGACCCCUCCCCCUACAAAAUCUCAUCUCCCUAAGGACCUAAUUACUCUAAGACCUAUACUACAAAAUGAAUCCACCGUUUCCACGCUUUUUCAGAGAAAAGAGACGCUAGACAUUAGACUCCAAAAGUCAGAAGAGAUCCUGGCCAGAAGCUCAGUGGAAACACCAUGAACACGACGAGAAUCCAUGAAGACCAUCGACCUCCACACACACAUACACGCGAAAGAACACGGAGAUACAAUUGCUUCAGUCAUGUUGAUUUUCAGAUUUAUAAUGAAGUCUGUAUGAAUUUCAGAGCUUCAUUCCUUUAUGAUUUUAAUAGAAACUGACUCAAGUCCGGUCAUGGAGUUUUGUUGAGCUUUACUGCUACUUUGUCAGAUUUUUGCCUCGCUCGAAGUAUUUUUAUAGAAUUCAUUAAAAUCUGAAAUUUUUCUUUUUUUGAAUUUUAGGAAUUAAUUGUAUGAUUUUUUGUGUUUAUUUGUGUUUUUGUGCAUUUUUAAUAUAAUUCAUAUAAAUACAAAACAGAAUAGCAUGUUUGCAUUUAGAACUUAAUUUUUACAUUUUUUAGGUUUAUUAGUUAAUUAAUAUUGAAAAUACGAAAAAAAUAACAAAAAUAGUUCUUUCGCAUUUAUUCUUUUAAUUUGUCUUACUUUUCUUUAUAUUAGGAGUUAGUUAAAUUGGAAAUUAAUUAGUGUAAUUUUAGAAUGAAUUUGGAUCUUUAUUUUUAAUUUUGCAUAUAUAAUAAAAAAUCAACCAAAAAAAAGAAAAAGAAGAGGAAGAAAAAAACAAAUAAAAGAAAAGAAUUAAGUGAAGAGGAAAUAGACAAACAUGUGUAAAUAUGGGCCACUUGCAAUUAAAUCCAACCCAAAACUCCUGAACCCAUCCAAAUCGGUCCAAACCUGUCCCCUAAUCUGGUCUCUCAUCAUAGACACCCCAAAACGACGUCGUUUUGGGGCACAUAAUCUCAGUCGUCCAAUUCCCAUCAUCUAACUGUCAAUAUUUGGCCUCAAUUUUGAAUAAAAAUAUCUGAAACUAUUCAUAACCGUAGAGACAAAGUCCACCCUCCUCGUACAAAUUACUCACCGGUGUAACACCACCGACAUACCACCGCUCCUCCGCCGUCCGGAAACCGCCUCCACAGGCGGCCGGUCUCCAAUCGACCCCAAAUUAACAUUGUUUGCUCCCCGUCUCCUCCUCGUUCUGACCCCCCAAAAACCAACCCUCAAAUCCCGGCCAAAGUUCUCGAAUCUUCGUCCAAAGGAGUGACUACUCCGCCGACCAUGGCGGUGCCGACUCCAAUAGCCACCAAAAACACACCCUAGCCUCCCAUUUGCCUCCUCUACCCAAAAUCGAACCCCAUUUCAAAUGAACAACCCUGAAAAUGCUCGAAUUUUAGAUCUGAGAACUGAUUAUUUUUCUUAGAGGACUGUCAAAUCUCGAUUUGAAUUCUCAAAUGAAUAUAUAUGUUUGUUCUUACCAAGAACAAAUAUAUAACUCUAUUUGGGGAUUCGAUUUGAAUCCAGUCGAGUUGUGAAGACCCAAAAUCAGUAAGUUUUACAUUGUUAUUCAAUUAUGCUUUAUUUUUCUGAUGAUUCUAUUUUCAUGAUUUGAUUUUAAGUUUCUGACCAUGUUUAGUUUCUGGGCCUUAAAUUAUUCAUUUUUCUUUUAAUUAGCCUAAUUAAAUUUUAUUUUUUAUUCUAUGCUUAUAAUGUUUUACUUCCUGACCGAUUAUAUUUUCAUUUUUUCUUUGAAUGAUUUUGUUUUACAUUAUUGGUUGAUUCUUCUUAGUUUAAUUAGAAAUUUAUGCUUAUGUUUAGUUCCUAAACCUUUGAUUAUUCAUUUUUUUAGUCUGCUUGAUUUUGAUUUUUGUUUAUAGAGUAAUUUGAAGGAAUGUCGACCUAAUCUGGAUUCAUGGCCCAAUAUUAUUAGGACUUUCAGUUUGCUCAGUAUUAAAAAAAAACAUUUAAUACUAGAGUUUUCAAAAUAGCUUUGGUUAUAGUUAAAUCUCUAGGUUUCAUUAAUAGUAAUUCCUUAUUUCUAAUGUUAGGUGAUCUUAGUUUGUCUGGAUAUAGAUGUUUAGUUUUGUUUAGUUUAAGCUAAAAAUUAUUAAUCAGUUUUUGAAAGUUGAUAUGGCAAAAAGGGUAAUUUAAGUAGUUUAAAAGGCUAGUAUAGGUCUUGGAAAAUAGGAAUCUCACUUGGAACUGAUUUGGAAACCCCUAAAACAUUCUAAAUGGGAUUCCAAUUAGAGUUUUGAGAUAACAAUGAUAUAACUUGGCCAACAAGUUAAGAACUCAUGGACUAAGUGAAUAAAAUCUUAAAAUAAAAGAGGGACUAAGAGGUAAACACAAAAGAAAAGGGGUUGCCCUAAGUUGUGGCUAUAAAUAGGCAAGUUAGUGUCUUCAUUCACAAGUUUUUGAACAGUCUAAAUCCACAAAAAAUGGCCAGGUUUUUAACAAUCUGAAAAUCCAUAAAAAAUUUCCAAGUUCAGCAGUCUGAAAUCCCUUAGAAAAUUUCCAAAAGUUUUUGAAGUAUACAAAUCCUAGAAAAUUCUUAACAUUUCCAGAGACUCUAAAAUCCCCAUCAGUUAAAAUACUCAAAAGUUAAUAUUUAGAAUCCAAUCCUUGCAAUUCAAAUGCAAAACAAAAUCAGAAAUGCUAUCUAAUUUGAGUACCUGAGAGUUUUCCUUCAAAAUUAAAUCAUUUAGAGCUUCAAAACCAAUAAAAAUUUAAAAAAAGUAUUGUUCCAUUGAAAGUCAUUUUAAUUUCAAACUCUAGGUUUUGGAUUUACAUUAUUUAGCUGGGUUUGAUUACUGAGAUGUUUUGGAGUUUUUCUUGGUUGGGUUUCAAGUGCUUCUAAGAUCAUUCAAAGGUGCUUGUUUGGGUUAUCCCGGGUGAAUUUGAACGGGUCUCCAUGUGUGUUGGUUUAAAUUGAAUCUGGGGUUUGAUAUUGCUUUUCCCUGAGCUCGUGAACCAUUGAUUUGUUGCUUGUGUUGUUGAAAUGCUACUGACCCUUCCUUUCUCUUUUGUUUCAUCAUGAUACCAGGUGCACAUCUUCAAAUUCACCUCCAUGUACCUUUGAUUUGGGACUGAAAUGCAGCAUCAUAAGCUGAAUCCUUGUUGUUUUGUUUAAUUUGGAUCCUUAUGUAAUAAUAAUCAAUUGUGUAUUGGGUGAUGAGGUUCAAGG
Molecule: long non-coding RNA, 3283 nt
Filed under: Nicotiana benthamiana
Lineage: Eukaryota; Viridiplantae; Streptophyta; Magnoliopsida; Solanales; Solanaceae
Description: long non-coding RNA (NBEN_LNC021055)
Source: RNAcentral